GCCCUCGUAGCUCAGGGGAUAGAGCGUCUGCCUCCGGAGCAGAAAGCCACAGGUUCGAAUCCUGCCGAGGGCACCA
This 76-nucleotide transfer RNA is filed under the name Berryella intestinalis. Its description in RNAcentral is "tRNA-Arg (CCG) (tRNA-Arg-CCG-1-1)". It matches the Rfam family "tRNA". From Rfam's summary of the family: Transfer RNA (tRNA) molecules are approximately 80 nucleotides in length. Their secondary structure includes four short double-helical elements and three loops (D, anti-codon, and T loops). The record is from RNAcentral. RNAcentral also lists the same sequence under 2 other names. Lineage: Bacteria; Bacillati; Actinomycetota; Coriobacteriia; Eggerthellales; Eggerthellaceae.